RNAcentral lists this long non-coding RNA (550 nucleotides) under Polistes fuscatus (common paper wasp). RNAcentral's name for it is "uncharacterized LOC122525391". Lineage: Eukaryota; Metazoa; Arthropoda; Insecta; Hymenoptera; Vespidae. The record is from RNAcentral.
UCAGGAACCAAGAUUUCAAUGUUCGGAUUGUCAGUAUAGAUGUAAAAGAGCAGCUAACGUUUACAAACACGUUAGAAUGAUGCACCGAGAAUCCGAAGUUUGUGCUAUAGAUCUUGUAACUAAUCGUGUUUUCCGACCAUUAGGUUAAUUAUUUAUUUAUUAUUAUUUUUUUUGUCCUUUAUUAUUAUUACACAAUCAUUAUCUAAUCAAAGCAGGUGGAAAAGUUUCGAGCUAGACGAUUGAAAAUAAUUUUCUUUUUUGUUUUACAUAUAGUAUUCGCGUGUAUAAAUUUAAAUAAGAUGAAUUUGGUUCUUGUUGAGGGCUAUCAAAAACCACUCCUCGUUGUAUCCAUCCACUCCUAGUGAUAAAAGGUACUUCGGUAAUUUUUUUUUUUACUAUGUUCUACAAUGAUAUUAAAAAUAGAACAUAGUAGGAUACUAAAAUGGAUGGGUGACCGACCCCACCUUUCCGACAAAAUAAAAUAAUAAAAGUUAUACGACUGGAAUUUGUAAAAGUGAGACUGUAAAAAUACAAGAACGUUAAAGUAAAA